RNAcentral lists this ribosomal RNA (384 nucleotides) under uncultured bacterium. RNAcentral describes it as "partial 16S ribosomal RNA". It matches the Rfam family "Bacterial small subunit ribosomal RNA", at positions 338 to 733 of the family's 1533-position model. The record is from RNAcentral.
CCUACGGGUGGCAGCAGUCAGGAAUCAUUCUCAAUGGGCUAAACCCUGAUGUUGCGACGCCGCGUGGGGGAAUAAAGCUCUUCGGGUUGUAAACCCCUGUCAUGUGGGAGCAAAUUAAAACGCUAGUACCACAAGAGGAAGAGCCGGCUAACUUUGUUCCAGCAGCCGCGGUAAUACAGAGGUCUUAAGCGUUGUUCGUAAUCGCGGGGCGUGGAGCGUUCGUGGGCUGGUUCGUAAGGCGUGUGGGAAAGUCGCGGGGCCAAACCGCGGACGGCAGAUUAUACUGCGAGACUAGAGUAAGGGAGGGGGAAGCGGAAUGCUUGGUGUAGCAGUGAAAUGCGUAGAUAUCGAGAGGAACACUCGUGGCGAAGGCGGGUUCCUGGA